GAGUUUGAUCCUGGCUCAGAUUGAACGCUGGCGGCAUGCCUUACACAUGCAAGUCGAACGGUAACAGGUCUUCGGAUGCUGACGAGUGGCGAACGGGUGAGUAAUACAUCGGAACGUGCCCGAGAGUGGGGGAUAACGAAGCGAAAGCUUUGCUAAUACCGCAUACGAUCUCAGGAUGAAAGCAGGGGACCGCAAGGCCUUGCGCUCACGGAGCGGCCGAUGGCAGAUUAGGUAGUUGGUGGGAUAAAAGCUUACCGAGCCGACGAUCUGUAGCUGGUCUGAGAGGACGACCAGCCACACUGGGACUGAGACACGGCCCAGACUCCUACGGGAGGCAGCAGUGGGGAAUUUUGGACAAUGGGCGCAAGCCUGAUCCAGCCAUGCCGCGUGCAGGAUGAAGGCCUUCGGGUUGUAAACUGCUUUUGUACGGAACGAAAAGACUCCUUCUAAUAAAGGGGGUCCAUGACGGUACCGUAAGAAUAAGCACCGGCUAACUACGUGCCAGCAGCCGCGGUAA
This 517-nucleotide ribosomal RNA is filed under the name uncultured bacterium. RNAcentral describes it as "bacterial SSU rRNA". It matches the Rfam family "Bacterial small subunit ribosomal RNA", at positions 9 to 523 of the family's 1533-position model. The record is from RNAcentral.